UCAAGCUACAAAGGGCGCAUGGUGAAUGCCUUGGCAUCAGGAGCCGAUGAAGGACGCGAUAAGCUGCGAUAAGCUUCGGGUAGACGCACAUAGUCAGAGAUCCGAAGAUUUCCGAAUGAGGAAACUCACAUGGGAAACCCCAUGUAUCAUAAAGUGAAUACAUAGUUUUAUGAAGGUAUACCCAGGGAACUGAAACAUCUAAGUACCUGGAGGAAGAGAAAGAAAAAUCGAUUUUCUUAGUAGCGGCGAGCGAAAAGGAAAGAGCCCAAACCAGAGAUUUAUCUCUGGGGUUGCGGACAGAACAUAACGAGAAAUCAUAGUUAAUUGAACACAACUGGAAAGUUGGACCACAGUGGGUAAUAGUCCCGUAAGUGAAAACUAUGAUAAUCAGUUCUGCACCAGAGUACCACGAGACACGUGAAACCUUGUGGGAAGCAGGGAGGACCACCUCCCAAGGCUAAAUACUACCUGAUGACCGAUAGUGAAGCAGUACCGUGAGGGAAAGGUGAAAAGAACCCCGGGAGGGGAGUGAAAUAGAACCUGAAACCAUGUGCCUACAACCGAUCAGAGCACCUUAUGUGUGUGAUGAUGUGCUUUUUGUAGAACGAGCCAACGAGUUACGGUAUGUAGCGAGGUUAAGUACUUAAGGUACGGAGCCGAAGGGAAACCGAGUCUUAAUAGGGCGACUAGUUGCAUGCUGUAGACCCGAAACCGGGUGACCUAUCCAUGGCCAGGUUGAAGCGAGGGUAAAACCUCGUGGAGGACCGAACCACGUUGCUGUUGAAAAAGCAUGGGAUGAGCUGUGGAUAGCGGAGAAAUUCCAAUCGAACUCGGAUAUAGCUGGUUCUCCUCGAAAUAGCUUUAGGGCUAGCGUCGGAAAAUGUGAGUAGUGGAGGUAGAGCACUGAAUAGGCUAGGGGGCAUAGCGCUUACCGAACCUUAUCAAACUCCGAAUGCCACAUACUAUCAGUCCGGCAGUCAGACUAUGAAAGAUAAGUUCCAUGGUCAAAAGGGAAACAGCCCAGAUCGUCAGCUAAGGUCCCAAAGUGUAAGUUAAGUGGAAAAGGAUGUGGGAUUUCUAAGACAACUAGGAUGUUGGCUUAGAAGCAGCCACUCAUUAAAAGAGUGCGUAAUAGCUCACUAGUCAAGAGAUCCUGCGCCGAAAAUGUCCGGGGCUCAAACUUACCACCGAAGCUACGGGUUCACGCAUUAGCGUGAGCGGUAGAGGAGCGUCGUAAUCGGGCUGAAGUCGUACCGUAAGGAGCGGUGGACUGAUUACGAGUGAGAAUGUUGGCAUUAGUAGCGAGAUGUAGGCGAGAAUCCUACAGGCCGAAUAUCUAAGGUUUCCUGAGUAAAGUUUGUCUUCUCAGGGUUAGUCGGGACCUAAGGCGAGGCCGAAAGGCGUAGUCGAUGGACAAUUGGUUGAUAUUCCAAUACCACUAUAAUCGUUAUUAUCGAUGGUGUGACGGAGAAGGAUAGGAUGUGCUAGCUAUUGGAUGCUAGUCUAAGCGUUUAGGGAGUUGGGAUUGGCAAAUCCGUUCCAACAAUUCUGAGGCGUGAUGGGGAAGGUUCUACGGAACCGAAGUAUCUGAUUCCAUGCUUCCAAGAAAAGCAUCUAGAAAGAGAAGUAGUGCCCGUACCGCAAACCGACACAGGUAGAUGAGGAGAGAAUCCUAAGGCCGACGGAAGAAUUGCAGUUAAGGAACUAGGCAAAUUGACCCCGUAACUUCGGGAGAAGGGGUGCCUGAGAAAUCAGGCCGCAGAGAAUAGGCACAAGCAACUGUUUAACAAAAACACAGGUCUCUGCUAAAGCGAAAGCUGAUGUAUAGGGGCUGACGCCUGCCCGGUGCUGGAAGGUUAAGGGGAACACUUAGCAAAGUUUUGCGAAGGUGUGAACUUAAGCCCCAGUAAACGGCGGCCGUAACUAUAACGGUCCUAAGGUAGCGAAAUUCCUUGUCAGGUAAGUUCUGACCCGCACGAAUGGCGUAAUGACUUGUGCACUGUCUCAACUGCAAAUCCGGCGAAGUUGUAGUGCGAGUGAAGAUGCUCGCUACCCGCGAUUGGACGGAAAGACCCCGUAGAGCUUUACUGUAGCUUAGCAUUGAAUUUCGGUAUUGUCUGUACAGGAUAGGUGGGAGACUGGGAAACUAGGGCGUCAGCCUUGGUGGAGUCGUUGUUGGGAUACCACCCUGAUAGUAUUGAAGUUCUAACUGGAUGCCAUGAAACUGGUGACAGGACAUUGUUAGGUGGGCAGUUUGACUGGGGCGGUCGCCUCCUAAAAUGUAACGGAGGCGCCCAAAGGUUCCCUCAGAACGGUCGGAAAUCGUUCGAAGAGUGUAAAGGCAGAAGGGAGCCUGACUGCGACACCUACAAGUGGAGCAGGGACGAAAGUCGGGCUUAGUGAUCCGGUGGUACCUCGUGGGAGGGCCAUCGCUCAACGGAUAAAAGCUACCUCGGGGAUAACAGGCUGAUCUCCCCCAAGAGUUCACAUCGACGGGGAGGUUUGGCACCUCGAUGUCGGCUCGUCGCAUCCUGGGGCUGAAGUAGGUCCCAAGGGUUGGGCUGUUCGCCCAUUAAAGCGGCACGCGAGCUGGGUUCAGAACGUCGUGAGACAGUUCGGUCCCUAUCCGUCGCGGGCGUAGGAAAUUUGAGAGGAGCUGUCCUUAGUACGAGAGGACCGGGAUGGACUGACCUAUGGUGUACCAGUUGUUUCGCCAGAAGCAUAGCUGGGUAGCUAAGUCGGGAAGGGAUAAACGCUGAAAGCAUCUAAGUGUGAAGCCCACCUCAAGAUGAGAUUUCCCAUAGCAUAAGCUAGUAAGACCCCUUGAAGACUACAAGGUUGAUAGGUCAGAGGUGUAAGUAUGGUAACAUAUUUAGCUGACUGAUACUAAUAGGUCGAGGGCUUGACCAA
Molecule: ribosomal RNA, 2910 nt
Filed under: Clostridium beijerinckii
Lineage: Bacteria; Bacillati; Bacillota; Clostridia; Eubacteriales; Clostridiaceae
Description: bacterial LSU rRNA
Rfam family: Bacterial large subunit ribosomal RNA
Source: RNAcentral